CUACGGGAGGCAGCAGUGGGGAAUUUUCCGCAAUGGGCGAAAGCCUGACGGAGCAAUACCGCGUGAGGGAAGACGGCCUAUGGGUUGUAAACCUCUUUUUUCAGGGAGGAAUUUUGACGUGUACCUGAAGAAUAAGCGUCGGCUAACUCCGUGCCAGCAGCCGCGGUAAGACGGAGGAUGCAAGUGUUAUCCGGAAUCACUGGGCGUAAAGCGUCUGUAGGUGGUUAAGCAAGUCGACUGUUAAAUCUUGAGGCUCAACUUCAAAAUCGCAGUCGAAACUGUUUGACUAGAGUAUAGUAGGGGUAAAGGGAAUUUCCAGUGGAGCGGUGAAAUGCGUAGAUAUUGGAAAGAACACCGAUGGCGAAGGCACUUUACUGGGCUAUUACUGACACUCAGAGACGAAAGCUAGGGUAGCAAAUGGGAUUAGAUACCCCAGUAGUCCUAGCCGUAAACAAUGGAUACUAGAUGUUGAACAGAUCGACCUGUGCAGUAUCAAAGCUAACGCGUUAAGUAUCCCGCCUGGGAAGUAUGCUCGCAAGAGUGAAACUCAAAG
RNAcentral lists this ribosomal RNA (553 nucleotides) under uncultured bacterium. RNAcentral describes it as "bacterial SSU rRNA". It matches the Rfam family "Bacterial small subunit ribosomal RNA", at positions 339 to 906 of the family's 1533-position model. The record is from RNAcentral.